UACGUAGGGGGCGAGCGUUGUCCGGAUUUAUUGGGCGUAAAGAGCGUGUAGGCGGCCAGGUAGGUCCGUUGUGAAAACUCGAGGCUCAACCUCGAGACGUCGAUGGAAACCAUCUGGCUAGAGUCCGGAAGAGGAGAGUGGAAUUCCUGGUGUAGCGGUGAAAUGCGCAGAUAUCAGGAAGAACACCCGUGGCGAAGGCGGCUCUCUGGGACGGUACUGACGCUGAGACGCGAAAGCGUGGGGAGCAAACAGG
This 253-nucleotide ribosomal RNA is filed under the name uncultured bacterium. RNAcentral's name for it is "partial 16S ribosomal RNA". It matches the Rfam family "Bacterial small subunit ribosomal RNA", at positions 524 to 776 of the family's 1533-position model. The record is from RNAcentral.